This 210-nucleotide long non-coding RNA is filed under the name Nicotiana benthamiana. RNAcentral's name for it is "long non-coding RNA (NBEN_LNC000327)". The record is from RNAcentral. Lineage: Eukaryota; Viridiplantae; Streptophyta; Magnoliopsida; Solanales; Solanaceae.
GAGGAUAUUGAGUUUGGGGGGUGGGGAUAAAGUUGUUAGAGAUUUUGUCUUUGAGGAAGAACUUGUGCCUUUCCCUCAAAUUGUUGAUCUUGGUCUUCCUGACUCGAAUCACACAAAUCCGGUUCAAGACAAUCUCGAAAUUCUCCGCCAUCAGGACCCUGAUAUAACUAAUGAAAUCAAACUCAACAACCUCAAGAAACUGAAAUGCCA